UACGUAGGGUGCAAGCGUUAUCCGGAAUUAUUGGGCGUAAAGAGCUCGUAGGCGGUUUGUCGCGUCUGCUGUGAAAACCGGAGGCUCAACCUCCGGCCUGCAGUGGGUACGGGCAAACUAGAGUGCGGUAGGGGAGAUUGGAAUUCCUGGUGUAGCGGUGGAAUGCGCAGAUAUCAGGAGGAACACCGAUGGCGAAGGCAGAUCUCUGGGCCGUAACUGACGCUGAGGAGCGAAAGCGUGGGGAGCGAACAGG
This 253-nucleotide ribosomal RNA is filed under the name Salinibacterium rubrum. Its description in RNAcentral is "Leifsonia rubra partial 16S ribosomal RNA". It matches the Rfam family "Bacterial small subunit ribosomal RNA", at positions 524 to 776 of the family's 1533-position model. RNAcentral also lists the same sequence under 1 other name. The record is from RNAcentral. Lineage: Bacteria; Bacillati; Actinomycetota; Actinomycetes; Micrococcales; Microbacteriaceae.